RNAcentral lists this long non-coding RNA (993 nucleotides) under Homo sapiens (human). RNAcentral's name for it is "uncharacterized LOC105370764, transcript variant 3 (LOC105370764)". Lineage: Eukaryota; Metazoa; Chordata; Mammalia; Primates; Hominidae. The record is from RNAcentral.
AGGCUCAAGAGCUGCAGUUGGCAAGCUGAAGACCCAGGAUAGCUGAUGGUGCAGUUCUAGCCUGAGUCUGAAGCCCUGAGAACCAAGAGAACAGACGGUGAAAGUCCCAGUCUGAAUGCUGCCUGGCUCAAGACUCAAAAAGAGCUGAUAUUUCAGUUUAAGUCUGCAAGUAGGAAAAGACUAAUGACCCAGCUCAGUCAGGCAGAAGGAGUUCCUUCUAUUUCCCAGGAAGAUUAAAGAACAAGGAGAUGGCUGGCUAUUUAAGAAGGAAAGGCAGAGGCUGCAGAAAUUGAGCCUAACGGCUUAUCAGAUGGGAUGGAUAAUUCUUUAAGUUUAAAAGAACUACUCAUUUUCCCCAACAUCUGUCUUUGCCAUCUUCCUAUCUAAGGAACCUUUCACUUUUUAGCUGGGGACAUAGCUUUCUGGUAUGAGAACUACACUGCUCAAACUUCCAAUCAGCUUGUAUGCACUUGGUGAAUCUUACCUACCACAAACAGAAGUCUGGAAAGUGAAAAUUUAUUUCCUUUUCACCAUGACCAGCCUUGUUCAGAACAUCUGAGAGGCACAGACCUGAGAAAGAAUCCCCAGGCUGAAGAGGUAGAAGUUGGCAGAAGUUAAAAGCAAUGUCUCCACAAUGGAGAAGUGACAUGCUAAAGGAACCUGGCAUCUAGACAUUUCCUAACCCCCAAUCCCUCCUUACAUAUGACCUGCUCUUAGAGGAGUACAGCGUGGUGGUUAGGAGUGUGGACUCGGCAGCCAGAAAUCCUGGGAUCUGUUGCUUGUUAGCUGUGGGCCUUAAGCUAAGAACUUAACCUCUCUGUGCCUCAGUUGCUCCAUCUGUUCAAAUGAAGAUAAUGAUAAUGAAGAUGAUAUCACCUGCUGUGUAGGAUUGUUAUGAAAAAUCAAGAAUUAAUAUUUGUAAAUCACUUACAGGGUCUGGCACAUAAUAAGUGCUGUGUGGGUGUUUGUUAAAUAAAAUAAUAUACAAUGACA